CGGUAUCUGAAAUUCUAACACAUUUUAUAGUUAAUAUUUGAAAUAUCGGGUAUAAAAGUGAUGAGAGAUAUGGCCGGAUUACACUUAAUACAAACUUAUACCUCUGACAGUGACGAGGAUAGACAGGAAGAAGAAAAAAAGGAAGAUACUGCAAAAAUUAUUAACAAGCUGGCUUUACCUGAAAGUAUCUUAUCGUGGAAAGGCGUCACACAUCAUGAAGAAAUAAUCGAUGAUCCGUUGAAUCAUGACGGACGAAUACGAAGCUUCAAACACGAACGUGGUAAUUGGGCAACGUUGGUUUACAUAAACUAUGCAGCCAGCGAUUGUCUACGUACUUGGUUGAAUUCAGUAUUGAAAGAUCUGCCGGUCAAAGGCGAUGUUAUUUCUAAGCUUCAUAUUAGUCUUAGUCGUACUUUGGUCCUGAAAUACCAUUGGAUUGAAUCAUUUACAGAAAACCUGAAGCUACUAUGUCGUAAAUUCAGUCCAUUUAUUGUACAACUUACCGAUAUCAGAGUAUAUUGUAAUGAAGAGAAAACUCGCACAUUUCUUGGAAUUUAUUGUCAGAAUGAUGAUGGAACUUUAAAGUGUUUAAUAGAGGCUCUUGAUAAUUUAUUAGCUGAAUAUCAACUACCAUUGUAUUAUAAGGAUACUUCAUACCAUAUUAGUUUCUUCUGGUGUCUUGGAGACCAACGAAUAUGCUUGAAGAAAAUCUUGCCAUCUCUCACUCACAGUUUGAAUGUAUUUCUCGCAGAAAAUUCAGAGGAUAAUUAUUUAAACGUCAAUGAGAUACAAUGCAAAAUUGGCAAUAAAUGUUAUGCCUUUGAUCUAAGAUAACAAAGUCUUGUCUGUGUAUUCUGGGCUGACAAGCAAGUUAGAAGCUUGGUGGCCCAGGACGCAUAGUCGAAAUCGAUGAAGCAAAAAUUGGCAAAAGGAAAUACAAUCGUGGUCGACUUUUGCGAGGUCUUUGGAUUUUUGGAAGGUAUAAACGAGACACGAAGAAGAUUUUCAUCAUUCCCAUGCAGGAUCGGACGGUAGAGACACUCUUGGCAUGUGUCAAAGAGUGGAUUUUGCCAGGAACAACUAUUAUAUCAGAUUGUUGGAAGUCUUAUAAUUGCUUAAGCAAUGAAAGCUUCCAACAUCUGACUGUAAACCACUCUUAUAACUUUGUCGAUACUGAAAGUGGUGCACAUACACAACAUAUAGAGUGUGUUUGGAGAGAAGUUCGUGGAAAUAUUCCAAGAUAUGGUACUAGAGAAUAUCAUGCCUUAGGAUAUUUGUGCGAAUUUCUUUUCAAACGCGCCUAUAGCCGCUUGGAACGAAUUGAAAACUUCUUUGAUGUCAUCGCGGAAUAUCCUCCAAUAUCCACUUCCGAGAAUCAGCCAGAAACAUCCGACGAGCCAUGUACCAGCACUACAUAAACACGUUUCUUAUAUACAUAUUUUAGUAACAUUUUCUAUAUACAUUAAUGUUUUUUAUAUUAAUAUUAUUGCCAUAUUUUCGAAACUUAGUUAUAGCUGCCAACACAAUGCUGAAU
Molecule: RNA transcript, 1534 nt
Organism: Harpegnathos saltator (Jerdon's jumping ant)
Lineage: Eukaryota; Metazoa; Arthropoda; Insecta; Hymenoptera; Formicidae
Source: RefSeq, a predicted model, not a curated record